AUGGCAACAAAUAUAACAAUCGGAGACGGUCGAACGUCAAAUUUCUGGAAUGACCGCUGGCUGCAUAGAUCGUGCCCAAAGACGAUUGCCCCAUCACUAUUCCAGAUCUCGACGCGAAAUAACCGCUCAGUCUGGGAUGCUCUGAAGAAUGAGACAUGGUUGCAUGACCUAUCUAGGGGACUCUCUAAGCAUAUGGUCUCGGAGCUCACUGAACUAGCUGCACUGCUCGAUAAUGUAGAGCUGGUUGAGGGCCAAGCUGACACCAUUGCCUGGAGGUUUGAACAAAACCAAGAGUACAGCGCAUGCUCGGCCUACCGCUUGCAAUUCGUCGGCUCGAUCCCCAUGGAUGGUUACAAAUUGAUCUGGUCCGGAUGGGCCCCUGGCAAGUGCCGGUUCUUCAUGUGGACUGUCAUGCUCGACAGAAUUUUGACUGCUGAUGCGCUUUUGCGUCGCGGAUGGGAAAAUGAUUACUUCUGCAUGCUCUGUGAGCGGAGUUUAGAAACCCCAUCUCAUCUUCUCAUCGAGUGCCCCUGGUCCAGAACCAUUUGGGAGUCCUUCGCCACGCUUGCAGAUAUGCCUGCUCUCUGCCCGGCGAAUUGGACAGGCGACACUAAGUUUGCGCGUUGGAUUCAGAGAUGCCACGACAACACGGCGAGGGAAAAGAAAAAGGGACUGCUUUCCUUAGUGCACAUGAUUGCUUGGGAAAUUUGGAAGGAGCGGAAUCGACGGAUCUUCCAAAAGGAAUUCUUGACUCUGGAAAGCUUCAGGCGUAAGAUUAGGGACGAGAUCAGGUUGUGGAAUUUGGCAGGUGCUGGGAUCCCCUUUGAUCCGGGCUGA
Molecule: ribosomal RNA, 837 nt
Filed under: Triticum aestivum (bread wheat)
Lineage: Eukaryota; Viridiplantae; Streptophyta; Magnoliopsida; Poales; Poaceae
Description: partial small subunit ribosomal RNA
Source: RNAcentral